Molecule: ribosomal RNA, 468 nt
Filed under: uncultured bacterium
Lineage: Bacteria
Description: partial 16S ribosomal RNA
Rfam family: Bacterial small subunit ribosomal RNA
Source: RNAcentral
GACGAACGCUGGCGGCGUGCUUAACACAUGCAAGUCGAACGAAGAGGCCCAGCUUUUUGGGGGGACUAGUGUCGAAAGCGUGUGUGUCACGCGAGUGUCCCCUGCCCUUGACUGUGAUAUGACUUCAGAAAACGGGGUCAUAUACCGUAUGACUUCUCCUGCUACGUGGGGGGGGGGGGAGAGUUUCUGCGGUUGGGGAUGGUCUCGCGGCUUAUCAGCUUGUUGGUGGGGUAGUGGCUUACCAAGGCCUCGACGGGUAGCCGGCCUGAGAGGGUGACCGGCCACACUGGGACUGAGACACGGCCCAGACUCCUACGGGAGGCAGCAGUGGGGAAUAUUGCACAAUGGGCGGAAGCCUGAUGCAGCGACGCCGCGUGCGGGAUGACGGCCUUCGGGUUGUAAACCGCUUUCGGUAGGGAAGAAGCGUGAGUGACGGUAACGGGUAAAGAAGCACCGGCUAACUACGUG